Molecule: ribosomal RNA, 776 nt
Filed under: Snodgrassella alvi
Lineage: Bacteria; Pseudomonadati; Pseudomonadota; Betaproteobacteria; Neisseriales; Neisseriaceae
Description: bacterial LSU rRNA
Rfam family: Bacterial large subunit ribosomal RNA
Source: RNAcentral
AAGAAGCAGACACGCUAGUGACUGUGGAGCCGUCCUUGAAAUACCACCCUGGUGACUUUGAGGUUCUAACCCGGAUCCAUAAACUGGAUCGGGGACCGUGCAUGGUAGGCAGUUUGACUGGGGCGGUCUCCUCCCAAAGAGUAACGGAGGAGUUCGAAGGUUACCUAGGUCCGGUCGGAAAUCGGACUGAUAGUACAAUGGCACAAGGUAGCUUAACUGCGAGACCGACAAGUCGAGCAGGUGCGAAAGCAGGACAUAGUGAUCCGGUGGUUCUGAAUGGAAGGGCCAUCGCUCAACGGAUAAAAGGUACUCCGGGGAUAACAGGCUGAUUCCGCCCAAGAGUUCAUAUCGACGGCGGAGUUUGGCACCUCGAUGUCGGCUCAUCACAUCCUGGGGCUGUAGUCGGUCCCAAGGGUAUGGCUGUUCGCCAUUUAAAGUGGUACGUGAGCUGGGUUUAAAACGUCGUGAGACAGUUUGGUCCCUAUCUGCAGUGGGCGUUGGAAGUUUGACGGGGGCUGCUCCUAGUACGAGAGGACCGGAGUGGACGAACCUCUGGUGUACCGGUUGUGACGCCAGUCGCAUCGCCGGGUAGCUAAGUUCGGAAGAGAUAAACGCUGAAAGCAUCUAAGCGUGAAACUCGCCUGAAGAUGAGACUUCCCUAGGGAAUUAAUCCCUCUAAAGAGACGUUCGAGACCAGGACGUUGAUAGGUCGGGUGUGGAAGAGUGGUAACACUUGCAGCUAACCGAUACUAAUUGCUCGUGAGGCUUGACUCUAU